Orcinus orca (killer whale) is the source of this 1410-nucleotide long non-coding RNA. RefSeq lists it as uncharacterized. The record is from RefSeq and is a predicted model, not a curated record. Lineage: Eukaryota; Metazoa; Chordata; Mammalia; Artiodactyla; Delphinidae. The transcript is spliced from 5 exons.
GGCCAUUUCUGGAGGCAUCUGGGGCAAAUGACACGAGUCAGUAUUUACUUUCUUGCAUUACGAAGUGGAAGACUAAUGACCGAAGCUUUAAGAACUGGGCAAAUACGAAAACACAAAGUGGACCUGAUUUGGAAGAGGAGGAAGAUCAUAUCACAUCCCCUACAGAUACCAAGACAAAAGGGACGGAGGAAAUAAAUCAUAAAAAAAGAGAAAAUGAAGUUUUAAAAGUUCUCCCCAAAUGGCGAACCCUCUAGAGAUGGUGAAACUGAGGCCCUGGGAGAACUUAAGUGACUUGAAUCCCCUCGGUGAUCAGCAUAGGAUGGAGUGUUUCCGUCUGCAGGGAGUCAUCGUCGCUGCCCUCUGGGGGCUUGGGGAGUUGGGGGGCGGGGAAGGCCACACAGGGCACACUGCCCUCAUUGUGAUUCUUACAUUUUUCUUAUUUCUAGAAGCUAUUUAAUGCACAUGGCACAAAACUUCAGAAGGUACAACUGGUAUAUGAGAGAGAAAGACCCAGCUGAGAACCAGAAGACAGAAGGGACCAACAGUAUCCAGAGAGAGACUGAAUAACAUCGAACAUCCAGUUCCCUAAAAUUCACCUGCUCACCAUAUCUGUAAGAACACAGCUUUGUCCAACCCCAGGCCGGUGCUCGAAGACACUCUUUUUGAGAUGUCUUAUGUUAAGGGUCAGUUGACUUAGUUAUUUAUUAGUGACAACAAAUUUCCUAUACACAAUCCAUGUUGGCAUAAACUAUGCAAGCAAAGAGGUUCCAUCCUAGACCUGCAAAACGCUGGGAGCAUCAUUUUUCUCUCACCGAGAAAAGCUGGCAAAGAAUCUCCCUUUACCUUUUACAUUCAUGAUCUGUGUUUGAAAAUCUUCUCUUUAAAAUGCCUUUUACUUUUCAACUUGUCAUAUUGGAGGGGGCUAUUCACAACACUGUCAGUUUUUAAAAAUAUGGGUAUUUUGGGAAUGUAAGCUGAUGCAGCCACUACGGAAAACAGUAUGGAGGUUCCUUAAAAAACUAAAAAUAGAGCUACCAUAUGAUCCAGCAAUCCCACUCCUGGGCAUAUAUCUGGACAGAACUAUAAUUCAAAAAGAUACAAGAACCCGAAUGUUCAUAGUAGCACUAUUCACAAUAGCCAAGACAUGGAAAUAACCUAAAUGUCCAUCGACAGAUGAAUGGAUAAAGAAGAUGUCGUACAUGUGUACAAUGGAAUAUUACUCAGCCAUAAAAAAGAAUGAAAUAAUGCCAUUUGCAGCAACGUGGAUGGACCUAGAGAUUAUCAUACUAAGUGAAAUAAGUCAAAGACAAAUAUCAUAUACCAUUUAUAUGUGGAAUCUAAAAUAUGACACAAAUGAACUUAUCUAUUAAAUAGAAACAGAUUCACAGACAUAGAGAGCAGACUUGUGGU